AGAGUUUGAUCAUGGCUCAGGAUGAACGCUGGCGGCGUGCUUAACACAUGCAAGUCGAACGGAACUAUUAGUAAUAGUAGUUUAGUGGCGGACGGGUGAGUAACGCGUGAGUAACCUGCCUUUUGCAGGGGGACAACACAGGGAAACUUGUGCUAAUACCGCAUAAGAUAGUGGAAUGGCAUCAUUAAGCUAUCAAAGGAGAAAUCCGGCAAAAGAUGGACUCGCGUCUGAUUAGCUAGUUGGUGGGGUAAUGGCCUACCAAGGCGACGAUCAGUAGCCGAACUGAGAGGUUGAUCGGCCACAUUGGGACUGAGACACGGCCCAGACUCCUACGGGAGGCAGCAGUGGGGAAUAUUGCGCAAUGGGGGGAACCCUGACGCAGCAACGCCGCGUGAAGGAUGAAGGUUUUCGGAUUGUAAACUUCUUUGAUGAGGGACGAAACAAAUGACGGUACCUCAAAAACAAGCCACGGCUAACUACGUGCCAGCAGCCGCGGUAAUACGUAGGUGGCGAGCGUUAUCCGGAAUUACUGGGUGUAAAGGGCGUGUAGGCGGGAAUGUAAGUCAGAUGUGAAAUUCCGAGGCUCAACCUCGGCGCUGCAUCUGAAACUAUGUUUCUUGAGUGCUGGAGAGGAAAGCGGAAUUCCCAGUGUAGCGGUGAAAUGCGUAGAGAUUGGGAGGAACACCAGUGGCGAAGGCGGCUUUCUGGACAGUAACUGACGCUGAGGCGCGAAAGCGUGGGGAGCAAACAGGAUUAGAUACCCUAGUAGUCC
This 772-nucleotide ribosomal RNA is filed under the name uncultured bacterium. Its description in RNAcentral is "bacterial SSU rRNA". It matches the Rfam family "Bacterial small subunit ribosomal RNA", at positions 8 to 796 of the family's 1533-position model. The record is from RNAcentral.